UGGGGAAUAUUGCACAAUGGGCGAAAGCCUGAUGCAGCAACGCCGCGUGAGCGAUGAAGGCCUUUGGGUCGUAAAGCUCUGUCCUUGGGGAAGAAACAAAUGACGGUACCCAAGGAGGAAGCCCCGGCUAACUACGUGCCAGCAGCCGCGGUAAUACGUAGGGGGCGAGCGUUAUCCGGAAUUAUUGGGCGUAAAGAGUAUGUAGGUGGCUUUGUAAGCGCGGGGUGAAAGGCAAUAGCUUAACUAUUGUAAGCCUUGCGAACUGCAGAGCUUGAGUGCAGGAGAGGAAAGCGGAAUUCCUAGUGUAGCGGUGAAAUGCGUAGAUAUUAGGAGGAACACCGGUGGCGAAGGCGGCUUUCUGGACUGUAACUGACACUGAGAUACGAAAGCGUGGGGAGCAAACA
This 404-nucleotide ribosomal RNA is filed under the name uncultured Eubacteriales bacterium. RNAcentral's name for it is "uncultured Clostridiales bacterium partial 16S ribosomal RNA". It matches the Rfam family "Bacterial small subunit ribosomal RNA", at positions 355 to 774 of the family's 1533-position model. The record is from RNAcentral. Lineage: Bacteria; Bacillati; Bacillota; Clostridia; Eubacteriales.